CGGGGCGUGGCUCAGCUUGGUAGAGUACUUGACUGGGGGUCAAGGGGUCGCAGGUUCAAAUCCUGUCGCUCCGACCA
RNAcentral lists this transfer RNA (77 nucleotides) under Clostridia bacterium. RNAcentral describes it as "tRNA-Pro". It matches the Rfam family "tRNA". Rfam says of the family: Transfer RNA (tRNA) molecules are approximately 80 nucleotides in length. Their secondary structure includes four short double-helical elements and three loops (D, anti-codon, and T loops). Lineage: Bacteria; Bacillati; Bacillota; Clostridia. The record is from RNAcentral.